This 465-nucleotide ribosomal RNA is filed under the name uncultured Klebsiella sp. Its description in RNAcentral is "bacterial SSU rRNA". It matches the Rfam family "Bacterial small subunit ribosomal RNA", at positions 338 to 795 of the family's 1533-position model. Lineage: Bacteria; Pseudomonadati; Pseudomonadota; Gammaproteobacteria; Enterobacterales; Enterobacteriaceae. The record is from RNAcentral.
CCUACGGGGGGCUGCAGUGGGGAAUAUUGCACAAUGGGCGCAAGCCUGAUGCAGCCAUGCCGCGUGUGUGAAGAAGGCCUUCGGGUUGUAAAGCACUUUCAGCGGGGAGGAAGGCGGUGAGGUUAAUAACCUCAUCGAUUGACGUUACCCGCAGAAGAAGCACCGGCUAACUCCGUGCCAGCAGCCGCGGUAAUACGGAGGGUGCAAGCGUUAAUCGGAAUUACUGGGCGUAAAGCGCACGCAGGCGGUCUGUCAAGUAGGAUGUGAAAUCCCCGGGCUCAACCUGGGAACUGCAUUCGAAACUGGCAGGCUAGAGUCUUGUAGAGGGGGGUAGAAUUCCAGGUGUAGCGGUGAAAUGCGUAGAGAUCUGGAGGAAUACCGGUGGCGAAGGCGGCCCCCUGGACAAAGACUGACGCUCAGGUGCGAAAGCGUGGGGAGCAAACAGGAUUAGAUACCCUUGUAGUC